UCCAGAAAACGGAUAUACGAGAAUAGUGGUACAAGAUGCAUCAGACAGAAGUGUUUUAUCAGAACCUUGAGAACAUAAAGUUGAAAAGUCAUUGGAAGUGUUUCCAGCAGAACUUGAUGACUGAUUUUGCUCUUGAGCUCCGUUAUUUGCCGUUGGACGCUCUGACGAUGACUGGUUCGAAUUUUUAAUCCUGGAAAGAAGAGAGUCACCAGAAUUGGAAUUAAAUGGAGUUGGCGAGGAUGGAAGGGAAUGUUUAGGCAUUUUUGAGGAAUGUGGAGACGAGGUCUGUUUAACAAUUGACCUUACAGUUUUCUGGGGAGUGCGAGGGAUGAUCGUGGAUUGUUUUAAAGUCAAUAAUUGUUUAAAUUCUUUAGCCGAACUAGGAGAUGUUAAAGAAAAGUCAGAUUGGUCC
This is a non-coding RNA of Schizosaccharomyces pombe (fission yeast), 412 nucleotides long. NCBI's taxonomy places the organism in Eukaryota, Fungi, Ascomycota, Schizosaccharomycetes, Schizosaccharomycetales, Schizosaccharomycetaceae. The record is from the annotation of a GenBank genome assembly.